CUGCAAUGGAGGUCACAGGCUACUCCUGUGGUCUCCAACAGGCUCUGCUGUUCCAAGCUCACUGCCUGAGCACUCUCUGAGCCCUGGAGGGGCAGAGGCUAGGAAAGCUGUGGGAAGCAGGGAGAGAAAAGGCCAUGCUCCUGUAAGGGAGCAACACGGAUAGGGAGUUAUGGAAUGAGCCUAUGGAGCUCUGAAAAUUGUUUCCUAUACAUGCUAUCGUUAUUUCAAAGUUCAAGGAUUUUAACAUUGAUUAAUGGAGUUCUGGACCUAUUUGUAGGGGCGGUGCUGAUGCUAAGGUCCUGUUCCCAAUUGGCUCUUGAUCUGUCAGUGAAGAAAGCCAUAGGACAAUUGCUGGGCCAAAGGUACAGGCAGGACUUCCGGCUCCCUGGAAGAGAGGGGAGGUGCGAGGGAGGAGAAGAGAGUUCAUCAGGCUUUUGAUGGAGUAAAGUUGACCAAACAUGUGAGCUCUCAGGCAGAGUGUUGGCCUGUGGCUGCUACUACAGGUGACUGGUUGGGAAUGUAAUUAAACUGAAGUUCAGGAUAGGUGGGAGAAGCAGAGAUAAAAACAUUAUUAAGAGCAUGCUUUUAGCAUAGUAGCACCCAGCAAUUGUGC
Molecule: long non-coding RNA, 613 nt
Filed under: Rattus norvegicus (Norway rat)
Lineage: Eukaryota; Metazoa; Chordata; Mammalia; Rodentia; Muridae
Description: long non-coding RNA NONRATT007166
Source: RNAcentral